GUGGCUUUGAGCGUGUUGAAUUCUGGGAUACAACAUGGCUCCUUUGUGUUAUAAUUUCAGAUGUGUAGUUAACUCGUAAUUAUUCUUUGACAACAUAACGACAGCUUUAGCGGGCUACUGGUUAUGACGUAUAAACAGCUGCAGUGUUCUAAGUGUUUUCAGUUUAAAACCUGGUUGUAUAUUUGAAUUAAAUAAUGUCAGACCAGGGUUCCAAAGUGAAACGACGCUCAGCUCAGUCCAGCACAACCUCUGAGGAAAGGCGGUCAAGGAGUACAGAGAAGGAGAAGAGGAAACGGAAACAAAGCCGCAGCCGAUCUUCAUCAUCCUCCAGUUCGUCGAGCUCCUCCUCUUCAUCGUCAGCAUCGUCCUCCUCGUCCUGUUCCUCUCUCAGUAGGAGCAGCAGCAGUAGCAGUGAUUCCCACAGCAAGUCAAAAUCGAAGAAAAGAAAGAAGGAAAAGCAUCCCAGAAAGAAGGGGAAAAAAGAGAAAAAACACAAGAGAAAGAAGGACAAAAAAUCUAAGGCAGAUAGUGAAAGCUCUGGGCCUGUUCAGAUAUCCAAGUAUCUGAAGGAAAAAAAGAAGGGUGGAAAGUACAGCAUGAUCUCAGGGAAGAGGAUUAAAAUGAAGGUGAAAAAAUCUAAAAAGGAUAAGCAGAGGGACAAAAAUCGUGCUGAACUGCUGGAGUUCCUCAACUCUGCCUUGUGACCUACGCCAUUGUGACUGUAGAACUAAAACCCCUUCAUUGUCCACAAUCAUGAGGAGUGACCUUGCAACAAGCUAGUAGUCUAACUCAGGGAAAGUUCAUUAACUGUUCCUGCACCUGAGCUCAAUCUCUAUAAUUGUUUCCAGAUCAAAUAAGAAAAAAAAUUAGGACCUAAUUAAAGUGUUGUCUCAACAAAAUAGACCCUUCUUUUGAUUGGGGAAAAUUGAGUCCUUUUUUUCUUGUCUAUUUAAAACUUGCUUAAGCUUUAAAUAUUUGGCAUACUGUAUUAUAAUAUUUUCUAUUGAUAUUUUAAAUGUAUGCUUUUGGAAGAUGUGUGCAAGGUCCUUCAGAAAAUCAGUGGACUGCACUGUAAUAGAAACGGUAUCAACACUUUCAGUAAUUCCAUAAUUGGUUGUAUUUCUCAAAACCUUCAAUUAAUGUAAUAUUCUGUACAGUACUGCAGUGUCUUUCCAGAAUUUCAGUUUGGUCACAUAGCGUUGUUCUUUCUUUUCCUUUUUUUUUUUAAAAAAAAAAAAAAAAAAAAAGAUUUUUCAUAUUUUUGGAUUUAGGUUUUUUAUUUUACAGUAUUUCAUAGACCUAUUGUAACAGAACAUAAGGACUAGAGCAAAGAUCUAUGGAAUGGUUUCAGAAAAAAACAAUAGUUUGUAAGAGCUGGAUAAAGGUUCAGACAGAACCAUAAUGUGUGUUACCCAGGGCUAAUUGUUUUUACUACAUUUAGAUAUUAAAAUACCAUUGCUGUCAUAAAUUUGUGUAAAUAUACAGCACCUAACCCCUUUAACAGUAUAAAUGUGAUUUCUUUACAAAUAUUUUGGAAUACACGAAACCAAAAAUGUAGUCAUGAAAGAAGGCUGAGUUGUGACAUAUGUCCUCAAUUAGAAUCUAUGUACAAUAUUCCUCAGUCUAAUAAAUCAGUGUUUUAUCCCUAUUUUCA
This 1654-nucleotide long non-coding RNA is filed under the name Scleropages formosus (Asian bonytongue). RNAcentral describes it as "lncRNA (ENSSFOG00015027689.1)". Lineage: Eukaryota; Metazoa; Chordata; Actinopteri; Osteoglossiformes; Osteoglossidae. The record is from RNAcentral.